AAUGGCUUGGCUGGGAGGGCGGGAGGCGCGCGCAACGUUCUGGUAAUUAUGAUUGCGAAAUAGCGAGUGGUUCGGCUCAGCAUCCAUUUCCGGGUGACAUCGUGUCUACUGCUGCAGGCACCACAGCCCCUUGGGAAAUGUAGGCUCAGAACGUACACAGCAUGAGCCUACUCCACCCCCACCCCCACCCCUGUCCUAAGGAAGCAUCUUUUCUCGCCCGUCACGCGCGGAGCGCGGGUGGCAGAAACGGAAGUUACGUGCUACGCUCGCGCUGGUCUGAUUUCUUAGAACCCUAGCUAUCUGGCAUAUGUACCUGAGGAUGACUGAAUUUAUACGAGGCCUCUGCGCGAGUGCUGGGGUUACAGAUGUUGUGACCAUCUCACAGGAUCCACAGUGUCAGGAUGGACAUUUGCAGGGCGCGUGGCAGAUGAUGCUGUCAAAAAUAUGUUCCCUGUGAAGAGAAAAAUUGAGCCCUUUUGGACCAGUGAGAUUAUUAAGAAUAUAGUUUUAAAAUCAUGGUAAAAUCUUGAUUGCUGGGGAGCUAAAUUUUGUCAUUGGUCAAGAUAAACUUCUAAGGUCUGCCCUUCAGGCUGUCCUGUUCAAGAUUCACCAGCCCACCAGGAUGAAUCACUGUUUCUAGGGAUGCCUUGGGAGGCAGCUGGAAAGCCUUGGAUACUUGCUUUUAUAGCUGAUCCUACAAAUUGAUAUAGGUUUGCAUCUGAAUUUCUGCCCAGGAAAAUGAAGAACAAGAGCGUGCAUGGACUCAACAGGGAUUCUGAGUAACUAAUGCUGCCAUGAAUAUCUCCAAAGGACAGAUGAACAAAGAAAGGAACAGGUAUCUAACUCUAUUAGGACCCCCUUCUGGUAAGAGCUUAUCUUAGUGCAUUGAUGAGCUCCCUGCCUGUGCAGGAACCCCUCCAGGUAACUGCUUAUCUUAGUGACGUAAAACUCCUUGCCUGUGCAGGCCCCCCUCCAGGUAAGUGCUUAUCUUAGUGACUUUUAAACUGCCUUCUGCUGUGCAGGCCCCCUUCCAGGUAACCACUUAAUAGUCACUUUUAAACUCUCUGCUUCUGUGAAGCUCCCCUGUAGCUGACAACUGAAAUGCCAGGAUUUAGAUUUUAAUUUCAAAAACCUGUGCUCUGGACACUCAGGCUGUUGUUACUAGGUGUCCAAAUAAUUGGAUUUAGUUCCAGCCAGCUGGAAUAAAGACUUUCAUUUGGGUAUAAACUGUCUUGAGUAGUCUUCUCGUGGGCCCUUGGUAAUACAGGCUCACAGUUUGCUUACUCAAUUUUCCUUUCUCUUCCUCCUUCCUUCUAUGGCAAAAUAUAAUUUUUUUUAAAUGAAAGACUAUCAGAAAAUGAGUCUAAAGUUCCACUGCAAUGAACAUCAGAAGGACGCACGUGUUCAUGCUGACCUGUGCCUUUCAUGUAGCUGGCUGAGCUGCCCAGUCACUCUGCUUAGUGUUCGUGUUUUAUGCCUCCUAUUAGGCAACGGCUUUCCCAUCCACUUCUGUUUUGCUCUUGUUCAUGUAUUUGGAUAGCUUUCCUUUUGCUUCUUCUUUCUCUUGUUUUGCUUCCUUAUGCUUUCACACUAGUGUAGGCUCUAAUGGCCUCAUCUUUGUGUUGCAUGUUGGCUUGCAAUGCAUCUUUCUCCUUCGCCUCCGUUUAUUGAUUUCUAUAAAUACCCAGUUCCGCUUGCUUUAUAUGAUGAUGCCUCUGCUUGUUUCCAAUGGUUUCUGAUGUACAGUUGAGAACUGACUUCUCCCAUCCUCUGUUUCAGGGGUUUCAGUUGCAAAUGCCUGCAGAAUCCAGAUGGGGAACAUGUGUGACAUGAUUCCUGGUUGGACCACAGUGAUCAUUGAGUCAAAGCUUCAUCCUUGUAUUCUGGUGUCUGCUAUUAUGGUUGGUAUUGACUUCUUCAUUUUCAUCCUUGUCCAGCUCUCCCCUCAACUGCAUUAAUAGGUAUGCUUCCACAUUUCCUGUCUACACACUCCAGAGCUCAUAUUUCCUUCCUUUCUUAUAUAAUUGAUCUCUAUUAUCCCAUGCGAAAUCUGUUAAUGUAUUACAAAGGGAAUGCACCUUAACCUCUUCAGCACCCUUUAUUAGUUACUUUUCUAAGGCUGUGAACAAAAUGUCAUGUCCAAAUGCAAAUUCAAGAACAGGGUUUAUUUGUUGCUCUCAGCUCCAGAAGCGCAGGCAGUGUGCCAUGUGGUCCGGCUUGGGGAAACAGUAAGGCCUCAACUGGUACCACUACCUGUGUUCAAAUUCAUGAGCCUAUGGGGACAGUGCUCUUUCGAGCUACAACAAAGGGUAAAACCUGCAUCUUGUUAGAACAUGAUAAUUUUAUGUGAAAGGACUUCCCUCUUCAGUAAUGCAUGCAGAGCUAUUAAGAAAAGAAGACAACUUGGCAAUUGUGAAAACUUUAAAUUUCAGAGAUGGAUUGUGACUAGUCCGCUGACCAGUGACACAGUUAUGGAGGUGAAGCUGCUGAAAGGGGAACUACAAAGUAUGGAUUCAGGACAGAAGUUUUAGAAAAGGUCUCUUCAGGCCCAAAUGCUAGAUUGUACGGCACGAAUCAGCAAAUUGUGGAAGUAAAUACAGUACUUUUGAAUCUUGUCGCAGAAUACCAUUUGGUUUCCUUAGUUGAGGAGCGGGAAGUUAACAAGAAUAGCACAUGUUUUUACGUGGUCCCUGGACGGAUCUGAGGGCAGGAGUAGACUCUGUCUGUGAAGCCUUAGUAUAAACAAUAUUCAUGUUUUUACUUUUAUUUCAUUUGGUUUGAAACAAGAUCUCGCCAUGUAUGCCUUGGCUUUCUGUAAAUGCUCUACAUAGAUCAAACAGGCCCCCUAACUUGGAGCCAUCCUGCUUCUACCUCCCUAUUGCUAUGAUUAAGGGCAUGGGCUACUAAACAUGGCACAAAUUGGGGACUUAGUUCAGUGGUAGAUCAUUUUCCUAGCAGGUAAGGUACAACUUACAAUAGGAGAAUGGGUGAGUAUGAUAUUUUACAAAUACAUGUGUAAACUGCUUCUGGGUGGGUUACUUAGUCUAGGGGUUGUAACCCACCCUGCAGUCAGUUAUUCCAGGGUCCCGGAGAGGCACUAUCUGGAAGAUAAUGGGAUAAGAGAGAGGAAUAAGGCUAAGCGGGGAUUCCUGUCAAAGCCUCCGUUUAGAGAUGGGGUACAGCUUAUAUAGGGUAAGGAGUUGGGGGGUUGGCAGAGGGGCCUGGGCUCUUGCUGCAUGGUUCACGUUGGUCAUGUGGUCCAGGAGGUUACCUUCGGUCAGGUCACAUAGGCCUGGAAGUCAUGAGUUGACACACAUAGUUCUCUAGAUAGUUUGGAAUGUGGGGUGGGUUCUGCUAACAGAAAGCUCUCCAUUAACAGCCAAUUUGGGUGUGGGGUAGGCUCUGUCAAUAGAACGAUUCCUAACACAAUUAGGGGUGUGGGGUUCUCUGCAGACUCCCCAGGGUGAUGGUUCCUGCAAUAAUCCUUGGAGGAAAUGGCUCCAGACAUACAUGUAGUCAUUUAUCAGAUCAAGCUGAGUGAGAGGUAGCAACAUGUAAGUCUCUUUCUUGGACACAGGGUUUCGCUCUUUGUCCCCGGCUGUCCUGUAACAGGAGCACAAUGUACCACCUAUCUACCUCAUUUUUCUUUUGAAUAUUAUUUGCUGAGGAUAGGAUCCAUGGGUAUUCUUCAGUGUUAUCGUAUUUUAACAGAUUUAAUGAUCACUGUUCUCAUGACUAGUCCCUCAAAGACGCAAACCUGCUUUAUAUUUACCCCUUGUUUUAAGGUAGACAACUGAGGAAAAAGCACAACAAGCCCCACCGGAAAAGAAGUGGCUUUUUCAGUUACAUGCUAACCUUUUUUCCUGGUUUGUGCAUGUGAACCAUUCCUUUGCAUAGUGUUCCUGUCUUUACAUAGUAAAUCCUUAUAGUGUGGUUGACUAAUUACAUACACCACUCACAGUCAAAAAUCCCCAGGUUCUAGUAUCAGAAGAAAGUAUCUUAAAGAUGUGGGGAACGUAGCUGCAGACUCUGUUUUAUAAUUCUUUUUCAGUUCACUAAUGAAAGCUGAAUAUUCCCAUAGUCACUGCUACACUGCUGAAUGCUCGUGUUCAUUACUGUGACACCACCCAGCUGAUGGCAUUUUGGCAACCGGAGAAGCGUUACCCAACAAUAAACGACAGUCUCCGAUCUCUCCCUUUUGGCUUGCUCAUCAGAUACUACCUAGAAUUUGUUUGGGGGCAAGGUUGCAGGAGUCAAUAUUUUACUUUAGGAGUCUUGCUUAAUUCUUCUAUCUUGGGGAUUGGUGGGAUAGGUCAUAGAUAUGGACAACAUGUGACUUUCAAAUAUUUUCCCAAUAAAUUCACAAGGUAACUUUGAGUCAAGCUUUAUGUCUUAUCACGAAUCUUUCCUCCUCUUUCUUACAUGUCCUAACAGAAUUUUUGUUCUUUACACCCCCCUUUCUGUUACCCCACCGUGAUAUGUUUCAGCAAUGUCUCUUCCUUUCCCUGUUCAGAAACGGAUCAGUGAAACCGGCAUUGUGAGUAAAGAGGCUGAAUGUUGGCAUGGAAUCCAUGAUGCUCUCGGGAUGUAACAGCAGGAAUGGCGCACAAAGAGGAUAUAGAGGAAGGUUGUCCAAAGAACAAAUGCUUGAUAUUUUGGCAGAUAUGGGACCACCAAGCUCUUACCAAUGGGAGAAGCCUGAUAUUUGUGUCGCUCAUCAGUGGGUACAGUACCUGAAGGAACAAGAGAAGCAACACCCAGUGGACAACAAUGUGACAUAUUGGGUGAAGACCAUUGAAAACACUACUUGCCUCUACUGGACUGGGGUUUUCUUUUCUUCUUGAAACAUAACAUAGUUAAUACUUUGACUGAAGAACAUGCAUAAUUUUAUUAUCCUUGAAAUAGCUGUUCAUAACAUUUGAGUCUAUUUACCAUCCAUUCUUUAGAAAAGUAGUGUGUAAAGUAGAAUUUUAUAACAGUAUACAUUUUACUGUAUAUUUUUAUUCUGGUAUUUUAUCAUUUCAGAAUUUAAAAGUAUAUUUCUAUGUCAUGUUCUUUGAUAAGUCUACAUAGGAUAUGGACUUUACUGGAUUUAUUUAGACACUGCCAUAUUACUCUACUUUUUGGCCUGGUCAAUUUUUUUUAAGCAUGUAACAUUGUAAUCAUAUUUUCUUGAAAAUUAACUUCUACCAUGGAAUUCUUUUACUUGAAGACUUCAUAAAGGUGCUUUUGAAUUAUUCACAUUAUAGUUGCACAAAUCAUAAUCCUACUCGUAGUGAAUAAAUGUGAAUAUUUCUUUAACCCAUUAGAAUAUAACCUUUUUGUAAGGUUCUAGUAACUACAUAAGUAAUGUGUCUGUCUUCAGAUGCUCCUGUCACUUUAGUAUUUGUUCUUAUUCACUGGGGAUUGUUGGUUUAUGGAGAGGAGCUGUGUUGUAUAGUAGAAUUACAGGUGCAUACCACCAUACCCAGGAGUAGGAGACUAUGCAAGUGAGUGAAAGUUCUAGAGAGGCCGGAGGUUUUCUAUGCAGCUGAAAUUACAAGCAAAUAUAAUCUCCCUGCCAUGGGUGCUGGGAAUGCAAAUAAGGUCCAGUGCAAGACACUAUGCUCUUCUAAUCACUAGGUGAUCCCUCUGGCACCCUGGGUACAAGUUUUGUGUGAUAAGCUAACCAUGGGAGCAAGUUCAAUUUUUUUUUUUUCAGUUUUCAUGUAAGAUAAUUUUACUAGCUCUGCCUCUGGAAAUUUUAGCCAUUAGGGUUUGGUCUCAGUUCCUUGAGAGCAUAUAGCAAUGGGGUUUAUUUUUUUGUCUGAGUACCUCUCUGCUUAAGUGUCCUUUGCUGUCCCUUUUAUUGCAUGUUCCCUCAUAUUCUUUUGAACUUUUAGAUUUUUCAUUUAAACUUGACAAAACCUUUUGUAAAUUAUAUUGUUGGGUAAUAUGUUCUUCCAGCUAUUUACUUGUAUUUUGUGCUUUUAGCUGUCUUUUAAUGCUGAUGUUUAGUUACUAAAUUUUUGGAAUCAUACAGCAUUGUUUGGUACGUUAUAUCAGAAACUUAAUAAUAGUUUCACCCAGGUGGUGUAUCUUAGAUUAUAUUUGUUUGUUUGUUUUUUUCAAGACUGUGUUUCUCUGUAUACCUGGUUGUCCUAGUUGGCCAAAAUCAUGCCAACAGAAAAUAUUUGGAUACUUUGUGCCAUCUCUCUUUUUUUUUUUUUAGAGCAAAAUCCCUCAUUCUGAUCUCCUUUGUUCAUCCCUUUUGCUGACCAUCCACCUGCCAUUAAAAGAUAAUAAACAUCCAUAACCCAUAUUUUGGGAAUGUGGGUAUAUUUCUUCCUGCGAAUUGUGGCCUCUGGUAGUUUUUGGGAUACCCUGAGGAAACAGCUGUAACUGUUAAGCAGAGAAACCUUGUCUCAAGGGGAAAAAAAAGAUUACAUUGAAUUAAUUGAAUAACCUUUAGCUUUAAAGGCAAAGUCAAUAAAUAAUGGCUGA
Molecule: long non-coding RNA, 6483 nt
Organism: Microtus oregoni (creeping vole)
Lineage: Eukaryota; Metazoa; Chordata; Mammalia; Rodentia; Cricetidae
Exons: 11
Source: RefSeq, a predicted model, not a curated record